This 497-nucleotide ribosomal RNA is filed under the name uncultured bacterium. RNAcentral's name for it is "partial 16S ribosomal RNA". It matches the Rfam family "Bacterial small subunit ribosomal RNA", at positions 28 to 507 of the family's 1533-position model. The record is from RNAcentral.
GAUGAACGCUGGCGGCGUGCCUAAUACAUGCAAGUCGAGCGAACGGACGAGAAGCUUGCUUCUCUGAUGUUAGCGGCGGACGGGUGAGUAACACGUGGAUAACCUACCUAUAAGACUGGGAUAACUUCGGGAAACCGGAGCUAAUACCGGAUGAUCUUUUGAACCGCAUUGUUCAAAAGUGAAAGACGGUCUUGCUGUCACUUAUAGAUGGAUCCGCGCUGCAUUAGCUAGUUGGUAAGGUAACGGCUUACCAAGGCAACGAUGCAUAGCCGACCUGAGAGGGUGAUCGGCCACACUGGAACUGAGACACGGUCCAGACUCCUACGGGAGGCAGCAGUAGGGAAUCUUCCGCAAUGGGCGAAAGCCUGACGGAGCAACGCCGCGUGAGUGAUGAAGGUCUUCGGAUCGUAAAACUCUGUUAUUAGGGAAGAACAUAUGUGUAAGUAACUGUGCACAUCUUGACGGUACCUAAUCAGAAAGCCACGGCUAACUACGUG